GCACUGCUUACGCCUUAAUGCUAACUAUAUAAUCUGUGUAAAUAUUUAUAAUACACCUAUUAUCAGUGUAAACAUGCAGCUUAGUCAUAUGUUGACUCAUAAUGAAAAAGUGACAUUGAGAUCUUUCCUUUGCUUAAUAACACAAGGUUUAAACAGGUUUUAGGAGCAGUAGAGUAGGUCUCAGUCAUUUUUCUGAGAUUUAUACUGAGGCUUUUCAACAUGAAAAAAUUGGAAGGCAACAGCCUACUAUGGAAUACAUGGAUGCAAAUUAGAUCCAUAUCUAAAGGAUAUUUUUAAAUUAAUGCUGGGAAUCUGAUAGCAGCAUAUUUGAAACACUGUUUAUGUUAAUCUUGCAGGAACUAGUUAGGACUAGCCUUCAAAAGUAAGAAGAAUGUCAAAGGAUAAAGUAAAGGAGCUGUGACUUCCCUGGACUGUCAGUACAUGACAGCGUUUACAAAUAGUAGAAUAGAGAAGCAGUAAUCCAGAAUUUGAUACAUAGAAUAUUAUGAGUCUGACAGAAAAUUAACAAAUUACAGAUGAUUAAAGGAUUGGUUUAAACAUGUUAUUAGUUUAUAUACAGCUAUUGCACCACUGUUACCAUUCUGGUUCUGAAAACAACGCAACACUUUGGAAACUGUGGAGGCGAGCCCUUCUGAGAGAUCCAAACUGAAAUACAAUCUGAUAGCAACAGUUUUGUAUGAAUUUCAGGGCUUACUCUUUGGCAGUCUUUGAUCUGCAGUAAUGUUGUCUUUGCUGUGUAGCCCACUCAUGGUCACUUUUCUUUAGCUAGUGUUGCACUUUCUCCAGUUCAGCUGCCAUCAUCAUCAACACUGUAACUUUAUAAUACACUUUGGACAAGUGGAGUGAAAAAUGUAGAUGCUUUCCCUCCAGCUUAUAGAGAUAAAAAGGAAUAUAUCCUGGAGGUUCUUGAUCUGUUCAUACAGUCUGCCGGAAGAAACAGGAGAAACAUCUGGUGGAAAAUAAAAGAGUGUAUUGGUCUGAAUGUGGGCUAGAAGAAAUGGACUAACAUCAAAAAGGUUUCAUAACACUUUCAGCCAAAGGGGCCUUUGAUCAUCUAGUCACCUCCUGCUUAUCCAGAUACUUCCACAUUGCAUUGAGACACUCCAGUUAAACCAAAGCUUUUUCAUCCUCAAAAGCUUGAGCUGUUGCAUGUGAUCAGAAGAGAGCAGACCAAAAGCUAAUGUUCAGGAAAUGAAUGUGUGAAAUGUGCCAAGAUGAUGGUACCAGGCAAUCCCUCUAUACAACUAAAGAGCUUUCUAAAAAAGAUAUCAAAAUCAAAGAGAACAUAAUUUGAGAUCACUGGUGAAGGCAAACUAUAACGUAAAAAGUUAUUGGCUAUGGAAUAACAAGAGAGUAACUUGCUGUCAUCUAAAAUUUAUUUUAAAACAUGUAUAUGCAAACAUCUAUCUUCAUUUUGCUUGACCAGAGGAAUGUUAAAUAAUCAUUACUAAAAGAGUCUGAAAGUUGUUAACCAAAAUAUUACUAUAGGCAGAAAAUACUCUGUUGAAUACAGUUAUUUUUUUCAGUGGCAACAUAAUUUACAUCUCAUCACUUACAGUUUAUACAAAUCAUGAAGUUAAACUGUAUUCUGCUGCUGGCAGGGAAUUUUUGUUAAUACUGUAGCUGUGAAAAUUUUAUUAUUAUUUCCCAUUUCUAUAAAGCAUUCACAUAAUGUUUUCCUUUAUGGAAACAUGGGGUUUGAUCCAAUUUUUUAUGAAAUUUUAACUGCUUUAUAGAAAGGAUAUACCAAUAAUCUGGUGACAUCUUUGUGUCCUCCACUAGCCUGCAGGAUGCCAGGACAUUGGAAGCAGCGUGCUCCCCCAGGGAGGUGAAGUGUCCAUUUGUAGUACUCCCACAUUCCCAGCUCUCAAAGUUGGGCUAAUCCAGAGGCAAUACUGAAGGGCUUUAUCUGGCACUCCUUGUAAGGAGGGAUUUGUCAAAGAUAGUAAAGGAAUUUCUCCAGAAAUUACAUUAAGCCCCUUUUUGGAAGUCUUUUCUUGCUCUGUAUUUUCUCAUGGAUAUAUGAAUAGAAUUCGUGCUUUUUGUCUUUUUAUGCUGACUUUGGUUCUGCAGUGUAUACACUCACCAACCUGACUCAUGUCCCCUGCAGGGAGGUGGAGAGGCAGAGCAUGGGUGGGGAAGCAUUUGAAGAUGGGCUGAUACCACUGGAAACCUGGUCCUAAAAUUUUAUUACAUGAUUUAGUCCUUCUAUUUCUGUUUUCAUACGAUGAAAGAAGCUGUAUUUCCCUUGGAAUCUCAGAGAAGAGGCAUAGUAUGGUAUAACAAGGAAAUGGUAGCUGAUUAUUUGUUUUUUCUUUGUUUUAACUUAAUGGACUUUCUAAAGCUAUCUUUAACAUACUAAGUUUUAUUUAAUGACACUAAGCCUAGAAAAGGCACCUGUCAUGGCCCAGAGUGCACUGAUGGGCCUUAGUUGUCCUGACCAGCAUCACCUGUGUCCUCCCACACACCUCUGCCCAUGGGUUCCAUUUAAGGUGAGCCCUAGGCCUCUGUUUCUUCCCUGAGCAGGGCUGUAGCAGUGCUAGUCUCAGCUCUACUCUGGCCUUGCUCUGCCUCUGAGCCCUGCUGAGCUGGGCCUGGCCUCUGUGGGAUGAUGGCUCUGUCUAGUUCUCCUGGUUCUGCCUCUAACCUGCCUCAUUGUCGUGGGCCUGGUCUGUGACCUGAACCCUUGGCUGGGCUCAACUGCCACCCCUGGACCCUCUACCCCGUGCUCAGGUGCCUUGGAACUGGGCCCCCUUAGCAUUGCUUGUCCCCUAGAAGGAAUGGAGCGAAUAUGCCAUUAAAGACAUUGAAUCUGAAAGUUAUGAUUAAAAACUGGGCUGCUGUAGGUGUACUGGUCUCCCUAGGACAAAGCCAGAAGUGUGAAGACAGAUGUAGUACCUCUCGGUGGUGGCAUCAACAAGUUCAUGGGAAGCCCUCCUUCAGACCUGGGGCAGCACUGGGAGGUGCCUCCAUGUGACACCUCUGUGCCUGCCUCUCACCGCACGCGGCUGAGGCUGAGAAACCGUAUGUCAUGGUGCUGUGCCUGUGCAAACUGCUGCAACAGGUUGCUGUCCUGCUAUUCUGGUUUAUUUUCCACUCUGCUGGAGAUGAUUGCCUGUCAGCCCUCUGCUGAUAGAGGUCUUUAAUCUUCUUUAAACAAAAUCACAAGGCUGGGGGCUUGGGAUCAGAUUGGGGCUGGGUGGGGCUGGAGCUGGCAGGAUUCACUCCAUUCCCUGUGUGUGCUGAGAGGAGACAGUACAGCUCCAGCUAGAACAAGUACCACAGCCCUGGGCUGUCCUGUCCCACCAGCCAUCUCCACAGUGGGAAUCUCACACUUCAAAGGCCACUUCUGGAACAAAGCAGAGGUCGGGGCAGGGGGCUUGCAACUGGCAUGGAAUGAGCACAGACAAGGGCAUAAAGAUAGUGCUCAGCCAUCUGCGUGGGUGUUUAUGCAAACCUUCUAGGACUUGUUCAGGUUUCUGGGGAUCUUCCAGCUUUCUAGGUAGAAGGGCAAGUUUUUCAGCCAUUAAUGCAAUUAACCCUCCCACUUCCCAGAGUCAAAUAACUCCCAUGGGCAUUGCCCCAGGGACCUCUUCAUCCUCUCCUAAAAACUUGAGUCUGUGUGCAGCUUUUUCUUUCAGCAGCUGAAAAAUAUAUUUCUGCUAUAUGUCACUUUUAUUUUGAUUAUUCGCUCUGUGUUUUAAUUUUUAUCUAUGUCCAAUGAGGUUGAGAAAUGUAUUUUUUAAUUACUUCCCUUGUUCUCUUUACUAGCUUUCUGUCUGUAAAAUAAUAAUCUCUGGCAGCUUUUUGGCUUUUGUGAUUGCAGAGUACCUCAAUCAGUUACAACAAGGUGACUCAGCGUUCUGUGCAGCCACUUGUGAAAACUUCAGCCAGGCCUUCACUUGAUUAAUGAGCAUCGACUUAUUCUUGAGAUAAAUUCAUGCUGGAUUUUACCCAAGGGCUACAGAGUGGGCACUCCAGAGAAUUCAGUGGAAGAAAUCUGUACUUGAAAUUACUUUUCUUUGAGAUCAGUUUACUUAAUGAUUGCUUGCUUGAAGGUAAUACCACUGAUAAGGAGGAAAAGCCAGUCAAAAAUGUAAAGAGAACUACAUUCAUUAGAUUCUUUUUUUCUCUUGUUUGUGUAUAAAAACCAGUUUUCUCUCAGAUGAAAAAUUAUAUGGCAGACCCUUUACUGGGCCAAGUCCCUGAGGUAGGUGUUAGCUUACAAGAUGCUACCCUGCACCUGCAUGGUGCCUUUCAGCAGUGGCAUUUGUGCUACUGGGGACCUGGCAGUGAGGAGCAGUCCCCCUCCUGCCUGAACUGCUUUCCCCAGUGAUGACUGGCAUAUCCAUGUUGAUAUCAAUCACCAGCCAUGUAUUUAAGUGUAUUUUAGUUGAUUUCCUGAAAAAUUCAUGUGUGGCAAUUACCUGCAUGUUGGUCUCCCCCAGUAACUUCUGGAUCAACUGACCAGUUUCAGUGUCAUAUGCCAGAAGUAUGGGCUGCAGGUCCACCACCUCCAGUCAGUCUUUUUGGUGAGGAGAGCUGCUCUUUGCCGUGUGAUGGGAAUGGCCAAGGGUGUGCAUGCAAAUCCCAGAGCUGAGUUUAGGUGCUGGAGACAUGGCAGAAGAUACCAAGUUUGUCUAAGAGGCCUGUCCUGCACUGAUCAUUUUAUCCAUACCCUCUGGGCAGCUGGGGCUCUGCGCAUUGGUGGAUUUGUGAGCUUGCUCGCUCAGCCUUAUUGGCCCGUACCAUGUGGAAGUUCUUUUCCUAGACAGUAGGUCAAAGACAGAUGGGCAGGAGGCUUUGGUGAGACUUGAAACCAUUGGGUUGGAAAUGGAAAGCAGGGAGAGGGAUAAACAAGCAGAAUGUGGGCAGCUCUGACAGUAUAAUGGUUGAACCUGAUAUUCAUAACAGGAAAUCAGGGUUAAUUUUUCUGCUAUUCAUGACUUCUGCAUUUAUAUAAGAAGUUGAAUACCUGUUUUGAUGCAGCAUUGGGGGGUGCUGUUGUUGAAAUACUUAGCAGAAAAAUCUACCAAGUGUAUAAUCUAUGCAGUAUUUGAGUACUUCUGUUGAUGUAUCAGAGAAGUGUUUCUCUGAAGGAAUUGGAUGUGAUUCUGCAAAUCCCAGGUUCAUUUGCAGAAGGAGAAGAAAUAAAGAUGUAUGCGUAGAAAAGUCAAUAUACUGAAAUGAAGAAAGCAACAGAAGAUAAAACACAAUCUGUGUGUUUUUAGAGCAUCUGUCAAUCUAAAGUAAUAAUAAAUAAGUAAACAGAACCUUUUUAAUUUGUGCAAGUUAAUUCCCUUCAGGGCUGAAUUAACUAAAGCAUAUCCCUAUGAAAUAGCCUUCAUCAUAUAAAUCAGUGUGCUGAUGGAUUACUGAGUUUGCAGCCAAAAAACUGUACCAGCAUAGGUGUGAAGUUUCCUGAUCAUCUAAUAAAUUGAUAACUUUGAAGCCUAGUUGUGACAAUUUAAAUGUCAUCACUAUUAAACAAGUUGCCAAAAUGCAAACAACCAUCCUAAGUCAUUAAAAUGUAAUUAUAAAGGACAGCUGGGUCUACUAUCAAUCAGGGCUGUGGGGACUAGUAAUGGGGAAAAAAUAUGAAACUUUCACACAAAUAGAAUGAGACUCCUGCAUGUGCCAACCAGAGCCUGCAUGGGAAGCAACAAAACGUGUUUUGUGUGUAUGCAGUUACUGAUGCUUAUAGAAGGUUUGCAUUACUGAGGUGGACAUAGGAGUCAGUGACAGUGUGAUAUCCAGCAAAUAUCUUCACAUUCUCUUUAUCUGCCAUAUAUGAGAAAGCCCUUUUGGUUACUAAUGGGGUAGGCUUUGUUAAUGAGAGACAGAUAGACUGGGGGGCAGUUCCAAUCUAACAAAAAUGACAAUGAGGUGGGACUAAAUGUGCUCUAUUGUGGAAUGGCAGCACAGGUGUUGUAAGCCCCGUUUUGAGAACCAGGUGGACUUCAAGUGAUAAUGAAGGUUUGCUUUUUGGCUGAAAGUAAUAAAGACCAAACUGACUAUCAGGCUUUGCAGGCAUGGAUCUAUUAUGUUUAUGAAAGCUGUGCUUAGUCACAUUGAUAACUGAGUUAUUGAACUUUAAUAUUAUUUGCUUGAUGCUUAUUUACUUGAUACUUUGAAAUGGCCAUGAUGCAUGCAACAAGCCCAGUCCCUGCUCAGAACUUGCAGCUUCUGCUAUGGAUGGUAUAGUUCUAAAUUCACACUGGUUUCAGCUACAUCCCAGUAGGUUUUGUCUGUUAUUCAGUGAUGCCGCAUGUAGUUGAUUAGAUUUACUGUUGAUACAUACACUGGAAAUGGAGGAACAAGCUAGAACUGUGAUACUGCUUCAUUAAAAUAGUAACCCCAAAAGGCCCCUCAGUCUUUUGGUGUAUUAUUUAUAUGUAUUAUGGAUCUACAACAGCUGCUAGCUUCUAUAAUUAAGCCCCAUUUUCCCUAAAUGUGGCAGGAGGGGUGAAAUCAGUGGGAUAAUUGGUACAGUUCUAAAACCGAUCUUUUGUGUUAUGUAUCUUAAUGCAUAACUCCAGUAUUGAAUAGCUACUUUUUUUGAGGCUCUUACAAAUCUAAAUAGACUUUAAAAAUUGGUGAAUGCUAGCAUAUUAUUUCAAAUAGUAAUUCCUUUUUUCUUGUACAUCAGCCUAAAGCAUGUAAUUCUCAAAAACUGAGGAUGCUGUGAACAAUUCCAAGGUGUGCCCUAAUUGAUCAGUGUUCCUAAAAUAUUUAGGUAUGAAAUUCUCCAUGUUUUUUUUUUUUUUCUACUAUCAAGUAAGUCUUUGUGGUGCACUGAGAUGUUCAUUGUGCUGAAAAACUUCAUUUACUCUCAUGAAGAAAAGUGUGCUAUUGUAUAUGGGUGUUCAAACCAUUCAUAUCCUUUUUAUGUACUUGGAAAUGACAUAAUAACUGAGUGUACUACCAUUAUUAUCUACCUUUCACUGUUGUAAAUUAUAACUUUUGUUUGUUUUGUAACAAGAAUCAGUUAGUAUGGAGCUUAGAGAAACAUUUAAGAUUACAAAAUGUUUCUAAUGAAGAGAUUGUUUUCUGAUGCAAAUGGAAAGCCAAGCUGAGAGAGAGUUUCUAUUUUUAUGCAGAAGGAUACAGCCUCUCAACAGACUUUGUCCUUAUUUUUUGGCAGAUUUGGACUGCCCUACUCAAAAGCAUAAACAAGCUUCAGCCUAUCAACACCAGAAGUGAGACACUAACCUGUCAAAUACAGAGACAUGAAUAAAUAGAAAAACAAUAAAAGUCAGUAAAGUAGGAAAUCUCACACAGUGUGAAUGAUUUCCUAUAUAGCAUAAGCAAAAUUUUCUGCUGUUUUUUUUUUUUUCCACACAGGUACACUAAGAAUGAUUAAUUUUUUGUCACCAGUGCAGUUAUGAAAUGCAUGCAAACUCCAGAGAUCAUGCUGGCUAAUGGAUGAAAUAGUUAUCUUGAAAGGAAAAACAAGCUUUCCUAUAAUUUCCAUUCAUGUCCUCCUGAUGUGAGAUGACAAUUUACUGCAGGUUUAGGAAAUUAAAGUAAAAUGUUAGUUUUCCAGGUGCACUGAAGAGGUUUUGAGAUUAAUUUGGCAAAGGUGAUGGUAUUUCUCACUGCACAGUGAAAGUCAGCAACAUGACACUGUAAAAUAUCCUUAGUAAUAGUCAGUUAGAAAGUCUGCGGGGGAUAAGGUUAGAGAAAGGUGAGCAGCUGACAUCAAAUCAGAAGCCGGAUGUGCUGACCCAUAAUCAUAGGCUUUUGCAGGCUUUUUUGGACUGCGAUUCAGCAUAACAUUAUUGAAUUUACCUUUAGAUUAAGCUGGUCUGCUUUGACAUAUACAAACCCAUAUGCAAGUUAAUGGCUGUGUCAUCCACUUAAUUAUGCAAGGUUUGAAAACAGCUCAGUGAGGUGACCCCUGCCAGCACUGCUUUUCCAGGUCCUUUGCCACUUGCAUUUUCAACAAAUGGAAAGUGGCACUGCCCAUUUCAGUCAUGUUGCAUUGUUAGUAUUGUGUAGACAAACCUCAGAAUAGUAAUAUACAAUGUGUUCUUGUUUGUUUUCUUGGAAGGUUACUGAGAGCUAUUUAACUCAGCACUAUGUUAUGAUGAAAGUCAUCUGCUCAUGUAAUAGUGCGAAGUCUUUGGCUUUGCAGAUAAAUCAUUCUUAGAGAAAGUAGUCCCCACAAAGGCAUUCCUUAGUGGACUGAAAUUAAGCACAAUCAAACAUUUUUGAAGGACUGAAAUAUCUUAGGAAAAAAUACACUUUUUCAUAAACAUCAGGAGAUGACAAAGGUGCAAUUAUAUGUGCAAACCCUAACUGUUGCUUGUUGUUUAUACGAUCCCGCGGUCUUUGCUUGCAUGGUCACUCUGCAGAGAAUUUUUGUGCUAGAAUUGAACUGAAAGAGAGCUUCAUAUGGUUGAAUUUCUACUACUUUAACAAAUAUUUUUAGGUUGCUAGCGUAAUCUUAAUGGCAUAUUGAUGUAGUUUUAUCUUUAUUCAGAGGAUAUGCUUCUGACUUGCUCACUUACACAGUGCUUACUCAACAAAUUGCAUGGUAAUCGGUAGUAUUAAGGUUGAUGGCAACAGAUCUGUCUCUCGCGCUCUGCACUAAAGACUACACUUACUGAAUAUUGCACUGAUGUUGAAUCAAACUCAUUGCUGAUUCCGCUGAAAUUAUUUCCCUUUCAUGUAAUUGUGGGAAAGGAUUUAGCCAGGAGCUGCGCAGUGGGCUUCUGCUUUUUGCAGUCUUCACUGUGCAUAGUCCAACUCGCAACUGAAUAAGACAAGCAUGCGAAAGAGUGGGGAUGUUCCUUGGACUGAAUAAUAUCUGACCCUCUUCCCAGUGAAGUGACUUCAGUGGGAAUUGUGUGCUCCUAUAGUGAAAGACCUUGGGUGUGCAUAACGACCUCGAAACCCACAUGAAAUGUUAUAAUCACAGCUAGUAGCAUAGUAUCCCAGUUCUCAAAUACAGAAACCACAGAAUUCAAAGGCCUGAUUUCUCCUGUUCACAAGGCAAGGGGAGGCAUAUGUAUGGGCCAAGCUUAUGUGAUGUCUGACUUUAGAGUGUUUCCUGUAUUUCUUAGCUCCUACUUCACGCUUACUUUUGUAUUUUUGUCCUUUGUUCCCAUUAACUGUUGCUGUGGGAAGGCACAGGUUAAUUAUUUUAACACUUAAACCUGAAUUUGUGGUCAUUCUAAUUUCAUCUGCAUGAGGAGUUUCAAGCUAACAGGUUUGGGGGGAGAGCUGGGGGGUAGUUGUUUUUUUUCCUGCUCAGUGGAGUUUCAUCCAGGACAGUGGUCACUUCGUUUCUGAGGAACGCAGCUAUCAAGGAAGACUGUCAUCGCAGGUUAAAAAUGCAUCUUGGCUGUAUAAGGGUGCUUCCACCGAACCCACUGCAGUUCUCCAGUUCCCCUAGCAAACCCCCACAGGAGGAAAUGGCCUCAAGAUGUGCCAGGGAAGGUUUAGAUUGGAUAUUAGGAAAAAAUUCUUCAUGAAAAGGGUUGUCAGGCAUUGGAACAGGCUGCCCAGGGAAGUGGUGGGGUCACCAUCCCUGGAGGUGUUUAAAUGGCAUUUAGAUAUGGUUCUUAGGGACAUGGUUUAGUGCCAGAGUUAGGUUAUGCUUGGACUUGAUGAUCCUGAGGGUCUGUUCCAACUGAAACAAUUCUAUGAUUCUACUCUCUGGUGAAGGUUUUGCACUUCUAAACAGAUAUAUUUCAUUUGCAAGUCCUAAGACUUCAAAUAAUACACCUAUUUCAUAUAGGCAUGCUUUCUGUAUGAGUUCUGAUGUGCAAAAGUCAUAUCUAUAAAACACAGGACUUACAAACUGUGGGGUAGGCAUCCAUGUUGUACUGCUGCUCUGUUGGGGCAAGAAGCACAGGGAGCAUCUCCAGCUGGAUAGCAGAGGUAGCCAUUGCAAUCCAGUUUGUCAGCUGUAAACCUUGUGCAGAGGACACCUAUAAAGUAACCAAUGGGUUUACUAAGUGACCAAUGCCAGUAUUGGAGUCACCAGGUUCAGGUGGGAGGGAGGGCAUGACUACAGUCUUUUCCCUUCUUGGUUUUUGGAGUUCUCUGGCAAUAGAAGGAAGGUAGUGAAGGUAGUUCCUGCUGAAAUCAGGACAAGGUGGUGGCAGAUGGGUGAAGCUUUACUCUGCUGGAGCACAUCUAUGCAGGACCUUGGGGCACAUGUGUUCAGGACACUAAUGCUGUUCAGCAAGCUGGACCGUUUUAUACCAAGUUUGCUGUAGCAGUCUAAUGUAACAUAAGGAACUCGAUAUUCUACAGUAGCUUAAUUAAAGUCAAAAGAAGACAUUUGAAGUUAGUUAAAUACAGAAGUAUUUCAUAAUGAGAAUGAGUUCCUCUGGGAUAUUAAUUUUUUUAUUACUUUUCCCACCACAUGGGCGGCUUUGGACUAGAGGUUAAGAACAAAAGCUGGAUGCUUCUGCUGAAAUUCUCCACAUAGAAGUAAUUACUGAGGGCAACAGUUUAACUUAUCUUUCAGUUCCAGACUCAAUAACCCUUUCAGAUGAUUAGGGGGAAGCAAACCUCUCCAUUAACUUUUUUUCAGGUUGUUCUGCAGACUCAGGAAGAUGUUAUUUAUACUCUGUUCAUGUGUUUGAAUUGAUCUUUGUCAUUGUGUGGCCAGAAACAUCUGCUUUAAACAACAGAAGCUGAGAUUAUUAAUAACUAUUCUAUAGGAAAGUAUUAAUUCAGCAGCCAACUGUGUAGCUAUAUAAUUGGAGACUUGCUGAUAGCAUGGAUAAAUUGAGGGUUUCAUUGUAUUGAGAUGACAGUCUUGCAUCUGUCAUCACUGCUAAAUAAUUUUUAGAGGCUUAAAAAGCCCAAGAGGUAUCCUGUCCCUAUAUGAAAUUCAGGAUUUAUCCGUUCCUAUCUCCUGGGUUCUAUUUUUAGAAAUAGAGGAAACAGAGAAAUCAGUCUAACUACUAUGUUUGCAUUUGUAGUUUAAUCUUAUGAAAGGGGGAAGAAGUAAGGCAGACAUAGUCAUCUGUGGAAAUUGGCAUAUCCUUAGUAGCAUGUUCUGAUUUUCUUUUUGGUAACAAUAUUCAAAUUGGAAAAUUGUGUGGUCCUGAAGGCUUAUCUUUGAGGAAGCAAGCAGAGGAACUGCAAGUGGACACCAAAGGGGUGUCUGAAGCCAGCCUCUAUAAAUGCUGACAGUAACAACAAGGAAAUGAUAGGGUGCAAAAUAUACUGAAUUAAGUUGGAUAUUUGACUUCACAGUAUUUACAUUAGUUUUGUACUUGUAACAUGAAACAAUAAAUACAGAAGCAAUUACAUAGCUUGAUAAAUUCAGCUGGUGCGAACCUGGGGAGAACUUGGGUGAGAAAAUCAGUGAAACUACUCUGUUUACUUGAAGUGAGGUCCUUAGCUAAGAGCCCUCAAAAAAAGAACUAAGAUAGGAUUCCUGCAGGGAAUAGACUUGUAUGUACAAACUAUAUGGCAUGAGGAAACCUCAGCAUUGUGUUCUACAAUUCAGCCCUUGAGUUUUGCAGCUUUAGCUCUGGCUUUUCUCAAAUACAGGGUGCAAAGUCAAAAGCACAGUCCUGCCAGUCUGUGCACUGGGCUGCGCAGCGCAUCUGCUGAUCGCAUGGGAGUUAUCUAAAGGGAAGCCCUGCAAAUCAGAUAUAAGCAACCAAUUUCACCAGUUGCUCUCCCCCUUUCUCCAUUUUAUAAUCAUCCUGAUUCUCCCAGAUUUUUUUAACUGGACUCUGGUUCCUUUUUGGCUACCUAAAUCCAUCCGUCGGGAAAGGCUUUUUUUCCAUGUCCAUAUAAGAAAAAAAUGCAGAUGUUACCCACUUUGAGACCCUCCUCUCCAUAACUGGUGUCAUGUCCAGGGUGAAAAACAGCUGCUCACUGUACUUUCAGUGUAAACACCAGCAUGUACAUUUGGAUAAGGAGACCAUGGAAACAGUGUGCAGAUAGCUUCUCUCUUUUUUGGACCAUACGGCAAAGACAGUGUGUUGCCUGGUAUGUGUUAGCUACUAAUAAUGCCCAGUAAUGCUUUGUAAAAAUAUAUAUAGAUAGAUAGAUAUGUAAUGCAUCUAAUAACAAAAUAGGAGGAGAGGAUGUAUUUAUGUAAAUUAAUUAAAACAUCCUCAAAAAUUAAUAUGUUAAAGUGGUUAGAAAAGCUAGCAGAGGGUAAUAAGCAUGGAGACAUUCUCCUAUUUGUCAGUAGAGACUAUGAAAUGGUUGAAGCUGCUGUAGCACUGCGCAUGUCAAACAGAUGCAAAGUAAUUUUCAGCACUAAAAAUCACCCGAUAGCAAUAACUCUAGAGCAAUGUUGUAUUCAUGUAUUUAGCUUGUAUGUAUAAAUACUAUUAUUUAAUACUUGCAUAUGUGGCUGUAUGUGAGUGCAUAGCAAAAGGAAUAAGAAAUGUACUUGUUUUACAUAUUAGAAUUAGCAAAACAGAUUACUUAUUAGCAUUUUUAUGGGCAAUAUUUCUUACAGGAAACUGUCUCUGUUCUCUUUGAAAUUAAUGAGAAUUAGGCACCUGGAUUUCUUUAAAUAUCUGGCUUUUGGUGUCCAAAGUUAAGGAAAAAAUGUUAUUUUUGUUCUAAGAAAAUGGAUUUGUCAGCUCAUUUUUUUAAUUUAAAUGUAUAGGACUGGUCUGUGAAAGAGAUGGAAAUCCUGCUUUGUAUUACCUACAUCAUGCUCAGUACAGUAUUAGGAAACAAGUUUGUUUUUUUCUAAUUUUAGCAUACACAGUAAGAAGAUCAGAUGCCAUUUAAUUUAGAUAACUUGGCUUAAUUUUUGAGAAGAGCAAUUGCUGUUGACAAUAAUAGCAGUUCCUCAGAUAGUUUUUAUUUACAAUUAUAGCUGUAGGAUUUAAGAUGCAUGUCCGGGUGUGAGUGCAGAUCCUGGCUGAGAAACAGGAGAGAAUGCAAGAGCCGGAGAACUCCCCUGCAGAAAGAGCAGAGCCCCUUUAUCCUCAUUGUGUGACUUCAGAGGCUCGUAAAUUGGAUGUGACAUGGUAUAGGUCUGCUAAAAGACUAUCAGAAUUAAAAAAAAAAAUAAAAAUAAACUAUUAGGUGAAUGUUAAUGGUCUCUUUGUCUCAUUCUACUCAAUGAGAUUUUUCUUAAUUCAACUAAUACAGCUUUUCCAGAUAAUGUGCAUAAAUCUUUCUAGAUCUACUACACUUUUCUGCUGGAACGCUUUCAGGGUAAACAGUUUACCUUGGCCCUGGAAUUAACAGGAACUUGGAUCUCCCCAAUUUACUAUUGAAAUGGAGUUUGGGCUGAGAUACAAAAAGCCCCAUUUUUUACAUUAAAGAAAUGGGCUCAAUAAUUGUUUUAUGGCUAGGUCAACACUGUACUUGGAUGACAGGCUGUUUCCUAUCUUCUUGUUUCUGAUAUUCAAAAAGAACGAUCUGUUUCUCUAUGAUUAAGCUCCCAAAACUCUCGAAAGGCAAUUUUGGAAGGAAGUUCCAGUAUCUGUUAAAUAACUAUUCUUCAAAGUACUUGCUAGAAACAAGUUAUGUAACAGCACUGUUCAGCAGAUUCAUUUAGGAAUAAAUGUACAUACUGGCUUGGUAAAUGGCUUUUAGCUGCAUGUAUUUGAGUUGCCUGCUUCUGUGGUAAAACAUGAAAAUCAGACCUUUAUUACGAUAGUCCUAAAGUCAUCUCUAAUUCAGACCACCUCCAAUGGAGGAUUGAAGAUGAUGAACAAAACACAUUUUUCAUCACAGACUUUUCCAAACUUGGUAGAUCUUAGACACAUAAAUUAAUUCUGAGUAUUUCAGUAAUUUAAUCUAUGUACAAUUCUACAGUGAUUUUUAAAAAAUCUUAGAAAUUUUAGCCUACAAGGCAAAACUAAUGUCUUUCUGGGACCAAGUGUCUGAUUUUCUUGCUUAAGUCUAAAACAUUUGACAUACUAAAAUGUAAAGAGAAAUAACAUUUUAAGGAGGCAGGUAAACUUAAGAUUUAUUCACAGUUGAUUUUUCUUGGUCAUUUGUCUUUACAAAAAAAGAAAAGUUGCUGUUACCAUUACUAAAUAUUCCAUUGAACAGAGCAGUUUCCAUUGAUUGGAGUCCCACUGACGUGUUUCUGGAAACAUAAUCCAUUUUGUUUGGCGUUCCUGAACUUUUAAACCCUAAACCCCAUUACUUCACACCCAAUUCUGUGCUCUUGAAUCAGAUCAAUAUUUCUCAUCUGAGAAAUCACCUCUUCGGGGCAACCAGGACAUUGAAAUGCUUUGGGGCAGGUGCCCAUUCUUGGGUGGCUGGUGCCAUUUUGGGUGCUCAGCAUGUCCAAAGUGUUUGCACAGGCCUGGGGGGCAUUGUCCAUGGCCACACAGGACUGUGGUACUUCUGGAGGAGUCCCUGCAGGGCUUCCUCUCUGCACCUUCACCUGGGGCUGUAAAGUAUUUGCAGGGACCAGGAUCACUUUUGAGAAUAUUCUUGCUCAUGACCUAUUAAUUAAAUUUGACCUUAUUUAGGCAGUCAUAAUAAGAAUGUGCCAAGUAGCAGCUAUUAACUUCCAUUAGGCUGAAAUCAGUUUCUUCAGCAACGUUCCCAAAAAUGACUGUUCUAAUUUGGCUUGUAUCAUUUAAGUGGUAAUUACUGUGGUAACAUUUUAAAUGCAUGUGAUGCCUUCCAUUUUAUACAACAAACCUGCACUAAGUAGGAGUUGAGAGAAAUUAAUGGGUUUUGACUAGACUAUUCAGAGCAUGCUAGAAAAGGAAACAUUUGAAUAGUGGUAAAAAAGACAAAUGUAGUUUGGGUUAUUUUUUCAUGCAGACAGAACUCAAAACAAUUGAUCAUUUUUGUCUAAUAUUUCCUAAAUUUGCUUUUUGUCUGCGAUCAGUCAUGAAAAUUUUGAGUCCUGAAAAUACGAAGAAAAAUGAAUAAUGUGAAAAAGGGAUUUAAAUUCUUCCAGUGCCUUACUUUGCAUGGUAAAGCGUAUCAGCUUGCAGGCACACUUACCAGUGCGCAUAUGUGAAAGUAAAUAUAUAUUUUUGUGCUUCAUACAACCCCCCAUCCACCCUGCAAAUCCUCCCCAAUGCGGAUAAUGCCUUUUGGCAACUGGAGCAAACUAAAACAUAAAGCAUAGGAAUUAACAUACAUAAGUGCACUUAUGCCAUAUUUAAAGUUCAAAGAGGGCUCUCUGAAAAACUGCAGCUAAUGAUCAGUACUUGAAUCAGCAACAGGUACAUCUAGAAAACAAAGGAAAAACAGAGGCUGGGUGACAACUUCUGCCUGAGUGUUUUACCAGACAACUUCUUGAUCCCUGAUGUUAGGCCUCCUUAUGGAGGUACUAGUUAAAAAUGUGGAGCAGAAAUCUGCAAAUAGGAAGUGGUAAAGGUGGAGACUGGUAACAGCUGCAUCCAGUUCAGGUGAUUCCAAGUGUUUUAAAACAGUACAAUGCAGUAACUGUUGCAAGAUGGGAAGGGAUGUCCUCAUCUGCACUGCUUCAUCAUUUGUUAUGCUCUAACUCUGGAGAUUACUCAGAGCCUGGACUUGGUGCUGCCUCUCUUAAGCUGUGCCUUGUGCCCAGAGGAUUACUGAGAUACAGCUUGUUGAGCUUGUGCUUUGGAAUAUCAACGUUUCUUUAGUCUGACAAAACCUGCUGAACGUUGGACUCCACUGACCAUCUCUCAUAACAACAACAGCCUCCUGCAGCUCUGAACUUCUGUGGUGUCUUUAUCGUAUGCACAGGCUUUCCCCAGUCCCCCAUUCCUGGCUGACACAACCAAGGAAUCAGUAAGGAUCCAACAGCAGCAGCAUGUCCUGCUUGGAAGCAAUCAGCCCUGAGAGCAGACCGCAGCACAGGGACUAGCAGCAAAGAUGAUCGGUCACCGGCAGCUUCCUUAUGGCCAAGGGAAGGAUCUCUGACUUCAUGCCACGUGCUUUCCAUGCGGUUUCUGGAACAGCAGACCCCAAAGUGCUGUUAACUCACCCCAAUGGCACGUAGUAUGAGCAGAUGGGUCAGCGCUGCUGGGCUCCAUUCACUUGCAGACCAGGAGCUGAUUUGUGCCUCAGAAGGCCUAUGGGAUCUGGUAGGGAGCAACACCUCUUCUCCUUUUCUUCAGUAAUUGCUAAAUACCACUGCAGGCAGUAGCAUGCACUUUACCUUCUGCUUUAUUUAUCAUUCAUUAAACACUACGACACCUAAAAGAUGAAAUAAAGCUGACUCUCAGUAAGAUCAAGACUUGCUGCUAUCACCAAGUAACCAUGGGCAAAACCUUCUAUUUGGCUUUCAUUUUCGUACCACUGUGGACUUUGCCACAGAGGUAAAAAACAAAAUAAAACCCCAUGGACUUAUGAAACUCCUUUUCUCAGUCAAAAACUGCUUGAGACCAUUGCUUUAAGCCAUGCACAGACAAAAAUUAUUAUAAAUUGGAUAAAAGAUUCUGUAACUUCCCUUUUGAAAUUCAUGCUCCAGGCAAUUUUGUCUGUAGAGAAGAAGACAAAAUUAAAGCCAAAAAAAAAGCCUGGGAAGCAUUGAAACCUUUUCUGAACAUAUUACAAGAUGGAAAUCUGAAGAUAAUAGAUGCAGAACUGAAGGUUGAUCAGUGUAGUCUGGGAAUUAUCCCAAAGCAUUGCUUAGCUUCCUGUUAGUGUAGUGAUAUUUCAGUGAGAUAUCCAUAUUCCUUGAUGGAAAGCCUAGGAAUGAUGUUUGGUCUUUUCUGGCUGCUUCAGAGACAUACAAAGGUACACAGGGAGGUAGGAAAAUUAAAAAAAAAAAAAAUCUGUAUGACUCAAUAGUGUGUUUAAGAGCAAAGUUGGUUAAACCGAUCACUAGAACAUAACUUAAAUAUUUCAUAUAAUGGAUGUAUGUGCUCUAAAUGCUGAUAUGAGUAGAACUGUUUUAUACAUGAGGUGAAGAAUACACUAUAGAAACAAUCCUAACAAGUGAGGUGGGGAAAUGAUGACUUAGACUCUUCUAGUUCUAGUUACUGUGAUACAGUGGAAUACAGCUGCUAAUAAUCAGAUAUGCUUACUGUUCAUAAUGUAAUACAUUUGAAGAUUCUAAUUAGUCAUUCCAUCUGUGCUCUUGAUUUACCUAAAAGAGAUGACAGUAGAAGUCAGGGCCAUAAGAUCUGUUGUUCUGCAUUUCCACUGUAAUAAUGAUAUUACUACCAUUCUUUUAACAGAGAAGUUAAACAACUUGUUUACUUAAGUAAUGAUUUAACUAGUUUAGAGUCAACUACACUAUUUUUGAAGGAGGAGUUACACAAGUUUCAUCCUUAAUGUUGAAUGUAGAAAAACAAAUACUGCAAAUGAGCUUAAAUAAAUAAAAUAUGCAAUCAAAUUAACCUUGGAAUGAUGGCCAGAACAUAACUGUGUCCAUGUGAUGGGAGGGACACAGACUCAGGCUUUUCUCCAUGGUGCCCAGUGUCAGGACAAAAGGCAAUGGGCACAAACUGAAAUACAGGGAAUUCUGUAAGAAAAAAAAUCUUUCCUGCUGUGAGGCUGGUCAAACACUGGAGCAGGUUGCCCAGGGAGUUUGUUGGAUCUCCAUCCUUGGAGGUAAUCAAAACCCAACUGGAUAAGGACCUGAGUAACUUGCUGUGCUUUACCCUGCUUAAAAUGGGGGCAGAGGGUGGACUGGAUGAUGUCCAGAGGUCCCUCGCAACCUCACCUGUUGUGUGAUCCUGGGUUCUGUCAGUGGCUUGCUCUGCUCACCUUGUUUGUGUGCAGCAGGAGUGGGCUGCCCCUGGGGAGGUCACUGCCCCUGGCACCCAGCUGCCCUUCCCUUGCAGUGACUCAUUUCUCCUGCUAGACAAUUUGACUCAAACUCAGAAGGAAAUGGAAGAAAAUAAUGUUCAGAAAGUUUUGAUUUCCUGACCUGUUUAUUUUUUCAUGAGAUUCUGUUCAGAAGUAGAGUUUUUCACAAUUAUUUUAAGUGAGGAGCUGGAUGUGGAAGAUGAGAUCAAGUGUUUCAGGAAGAGCUGGAGUGGGGGUUACACUAAGAAACUUUGUCAGUCAGUUGGGUCUGGAGGGUGAAUUGACCAAGCUGAUGAAAGAGUCGUCAUGCUGCUUUUCUUACAGGCUUACAGUGAUGAAACCUUGCCUUUGGGGAAUGUUUCUUUUGGUUUUUGUCCUACUGAGUUAGACUUUCAGUGGACCCUAAAAGUUGAGAAGAAAAUAAGAAGACGACUAACACCCUUUUAACAGAGCAGUCAGGUACAUAGAAAACUGAGCGAAGUGCAUAGAGAUGUGUCAAGAGGAGAGAAAAAGGCUGUAAAAAAAAAAAAAGAGCAAUAAAAGCAGCUGACAGUGGAGAAAAAGAAAAACCAACAGUGUAUGAGUGUCACCUGAAAAGGUAAAUGAAAAUUGGUGGUGUUUUCUUAUUGCAUUAAGGGCAUGUGUUUAGUCUUAACUCCAGCUUUCACUCCAUUUUUCAUUUACCCAAACCCUCUUUUUUUUGCGGCUAUCUGAGAGUCUAUGUGUGAACAGGUGAAGGUGGCUUCAAGAGAAACUAGUCUUUAUUGUAAUUUAGAGCAGCACUACAUGUUUAAUUACUUUUGGGUGCUCACAGUGGCCUUCCUGAGAUGCCAUUCUGCCAAUGCAGGAUCACCAAAACACAAGUUUUGGUUAUCUCAUGGCCCUUACAUAUCUACUCUGCCAGGUUCAGUAGUGACACAAUAGGAACUAAUUGUUUUGAGCAUUUUGUGCCUCAUGGCAUUACCAUAUGCUAAAUUCAUCUUCAGCCACUUACUAAGGCAGAUAAAAAAUCAGAACUUUGAUCCUUAUCUGUUCUGUUCUAAUUUGAUGUAGAGGAGGUAAAGGAAUAUAUUGUCUCCAAAAGAAUGGUUAGUUCCAGUAUGUUCUGAGGUGUGUGAUCUGAAUAUGGAGAUGAAGGGUACUGCAGAAACUUGCUUGUAUGGAUUUUGGGGUUUGGACAUGGAUACUAAAAUAGCAACCUACAUUUCAUUCAUGUUUAUUGAAACUGAAUUUUUCCUAUAGAGAGAUAGCGAUGUGUGAUAGCCAUGGGUAUUUAUAUAGGGAAAGAAAUGUCUUGAUUUUCUGCCAGGAUAUUCUAGUAUGUGAACCCCUUUUCAAUUAAUUGUCCAACCUGAAUUCUCAGUAGCUCACUGUCAAAGCAGGGGAAGUAUUUAAAUGGAAAAAGCAAGUGUAUGUUUUCUCUGGUGUGCUGGUUUGCACAUUUAUGGACUUUACAGAGAAGUGCAGUACUUUAGAGCUUUGGAACUCUAAGAGCAAGAAAGAUGUGACCUGGUGUGAUGCAAACUAUCUCUAAAAAUAUAGUUUUCAAAAUAUGCUGAAAA
Molecule: long non-coding RNA, 19250 nt
Organism: Columba livia (rock pigeon)
Lineage: Eukaryota; Metazoa; Chordata; Aves; Columbiformes; Columbidae
Exons: 4
Source: RefSeq, a predicted model, not a curated record